This is a non-coding RNA of Acanthosepion pharaonis, 113 nucleotides long. The record is from the annotation of a GenBank genome assembly. NCBI's taxonomy places the organism in Eukaryota, Metazoa, Mollusca, Cephalopoda, Sepiida, Sepiidae.
UAUGGCCAUAUUAGGUUGAAACAGCGGUUCCCGUACGAUAACAGAAGUUAAGCAAUGUUGAAUCUGGCCAGUACCUAGAUGAGUGACCACUUGGAAAUGCCUGGUGUUGUAAG